RNAcentral lists this transfer RNA (89 nucleotides) under Bacillota bacterium. RNAcentral describes it as "tRNA-Ser". It matches the Rfam family "tRNA". Rfam says of the family: Transfer RNA (tRNA) molecules are approximately 80 nucleotides in length. Their secondary structure includes four short double-helical elements and three loops (D, anti-codon, and T loops). RNAcentral also lists the same sequence under 1 other name. Lineage: Bacteria; Bacillati; Bacillota. The record is from RNAcentral.
GGAAGGGUGCUGGAGCGGUCGAACAGGCACGCCUGGAGAGCGUGUGUACCUUCGUGGUACCGUGGGUUCAAAUCCCACCCCUUCCGCCA